UUAGGAAUAUUCGUCAAUGGGGGAAACCCUGAACGAGCAAUGCCGCGUGAACGAUGAAGGCCCUAUGGGUUGUAAAGUUCUGUUGUAUGGGACGAACGGCUAGGAUAGGAAAUGAUCUUAGUGUGACGGUACCAUGCCAGAAAGCUCCGGCUAACUACGUGCCAGCAGCCGCGGUAAUACGUAGGGAGCAAGCGUUAUCCGGAUUUAUUGGGCGUAAAGGGUGCGUAGGCGGUUUGUUAAGUAUGAGAUUAAAGCCCAAGGCUUAACCUCGGUUCGUUUCAUAAACUGGCAGACUUGAGUGUGGCAGAGGCAAACGGAAUUUCUAGUGUAGCGGUUAAAUGCGUAGAUAUUAGAAGGAACACCAGUGGCGAAGGCGGUUUGCUGGGCCAUAACUGACGCUGAGGCACGAAAGCGUGGGGAGCAAAUAGG
This 429-nucleotide ribosomal RNA is filed under the name uncultured bacterium. Its description in RNAcentral is "bacterial SSU rRNA". It matches the Rfam family "Bacterial small subunit ribosomal RNA", at positions 355 to 776 of the family's 1533-position model. The record is from RNAcentral.